CGACGCAAAAGGCCCCACAUGUCUCAAGAAAGCCAGGGAGAAGAAGAAUCUGGUAGACAUGUUGUUUUACAAAGGGAAAUGUAGCCGGAUGUGCCAGGAUUACAUCGCGACCUGUAAUCAGAAAGAUCAAUUGUUCAUCUUGAAAAGAAAUUCUGAUGUGCACACCCGGAUGGACACGCUCAGCUGCCUAGUGUCGUCGGAGAAGAUGGCGCUGGAUUAUCUCGUGAGGGUGAUCGAGCAUUGCCGAGAUCCUCCUCUUGUGGGAUCCGUGUGCGCGCUGCUCCACGACGCCCUGUCGCCCAGCAAUAAAGGCGACCUUCGCAACACAGUGAUCCAGACGUGCCUGUCCCUGAACGCGGCCGAGGUGAUCCUGCGGACGCUGAAGGCCCUUUCGGCGGAGGGCCUGGCCGCCAUCGACCCCUGCAUCCACCCUGCCUAUCAGGUGCUCGCCAAACUCGCGUCGAAAGACCCAAAAUUAGCUGUAAAGGCGAGGCUGGUAGGGGGAGUGAAGCUGACCCACCAACUGCUGCAAGCCCACAUGAAGAAUUGUGUUCCUCUUCUCCCGUUGUUGAUGGUCACCAAGUACCUUGCGAAGAAUUCAACAAACCAGGUGAUGCUGGGGAAGGAUGGGUGCGUGGCGACACUAGUGACCAUCCUCAGCUCAGUGCCAAAGACCCACUGGGCGAAGAUCAAGUUCAUCAUGGAAACACUGGCUCUCCUUACAAAAGCUAAGAGCAAUGUGAUUCGGUUGGUGAGAGAGACGGGACUGCAGCGUGUUCUCGCCAUCUUGGACGCGUGGGAGAAGAUUGAGCGGCGACACCAGGUCAAGGUCAUUAAGGGAAUACUUGGCACUUUAUCACACAUGUGUGAUUCCAAACAUGGUCGAAAAGCUGUGGUGGCACUUAAUGGUGUUGAAAUCACACAGCGUUUCAUACAGUCCUGUCCAGCAGACAAGAAGUUUGACAAUAACCUCGCAAAUGCCACCAACGUUUUCCUGAAGUGUAUCAGCAAAGGAGAACUACCAGUGUCUUCCAGCUGGGGGGCAUUCACCUUCCAAGUGCCAAAUAGGGAGGGAUCCGAAACAAGCUCAGACAGGUCCCGUGAAGCAACUCCAGGCGUAGAUAUGGAUUCUUCAGAUGAGGAAGCAGAAGAGGAAAUCGAGGAUGAAGAGGAGGACUUUGAACUUUCUCAGGACUUCAAAGGAAUAGAUUUAGCCUCCGAUUAUUGCCCACAGAAGCCGAGAAUGGAGGAACUGGUGAAAAUAGCACACUUGUUCCCUGAGCUUUUCAAUUUCCGCAUUGCCAGCGGUACGAGGUUUAAGGAAGUUGCAGUUCCAAUCAGAAGAGGGGCUCUUAAUGAUGUGAUCCCAGAGAGCCACAAUGAGCGUUACAUAAGAGCUUCUGACUGCACACGGAGUAUUAUUAACUUUGUCAAAGUGGCUUAUCCUGACAUGGUUGGUGCUCGUGGCCCCAGUCACUUAGAGGAGCUCUAUGAGAAGGACAGAAGAGUGUGCAGGAAUAAGGCGAUUGCAACUGUGGAGAGAGUGCUUCAUCCAGAGGUCUACAUGGAACGCGUUGUGUACGACUUAGAUUACCUCCUAGAGUCAGAACAUUCGAGACGUCUCAUUACCCCAAGCAGUAAUACCAGCAGAUCUCUGGGUAAUUGGGAUGAGAAACGUGUUGGCAAACGCGACGUCUCAGUCCAGCACUUGAAUUUCGAAUCAAGAUUUGAGAGUGGCAAUUUACGCAGAGUAAUUCAGGCAUCAAAUACUGAAUAUGAUUUGAUUCUAAAUGCUGAUGUUAACUCCUCGCAUCACCACCAGUGGUUCUAUUUUGAAGUCAGCAAUAUGGAGCCACAUACUCCAUAUGUCUUCAACAUUAUAAAUAAUGAAAAGCCAAAUAGUGAAUUCAAUUUUGGAAUGAAGCCCGUCAUGUUUAGUGUGUGUGAAGCCAUGAAAGGCAGAGGUGCCUGGGUCCGUACGGGAACGGACAUCUGCUACCACAAAAACCACUACUCGCGGAUACCAAAAAGCCAUGAUAAUGUGCGCUUCAAGAAGUCAGUCAACAAGUGCUAUUAUACAGCUACCUUCACCGUCACAUUUCCUCAUGCUUAUGACGUGUGCUAUUUAGCUUAUCAUUAUCCAUACACUUAUACACAGUUGCAGGCUUACUUAAACAAACAAGAUUCUAUAGAAAGAGCAAGUGAUAUCUUCUACAGUAACCAGUCCUUGUGUCACACACUUAACGGGAACCCAGUCCCCCUCUUGACUGUUACUACCAAAGAAAAUGUUAAGGAAAAGGAAGUGAUAUUCCUGACAGCACGUGUGCAUCCUGGAGAGAGCAACGCCUCCUGGGUCAUGGAGGGAAUACUUGACUUCCUGCUGACGGACACAGCUGCGUCACGUCUCCUGUUGCAGAACUUCAUUUUCAAGAUUGUACCCAUGCUUAACCCAGAGGGCGUCAUCCAUGGAAACCAGAGAUGUGGGCUGACGGACGAGGACCUGAACCGGCGCUGGCGAUCUCCGAACCCCAACCUCCACCCCAGCAUCUACAACGCGAAGUCCCUGUUGGAGUACCUGACGAGCAUCUCGAAGCAGAAGGUGCGAGUGUUCUGCGACCUGCACGGCCACUCGAGGCAGAAGAACGUGUUCAUGUACGGGUGUUCGCGCAUGCAGUCCUGGUGGCUGGGCGACAAGGAGUUCCUGGACCACCCCGAUUUCAUGCUGCUGCCGAGAUUAGCGCAGAGCUGCAUGGCCACCUUCUCCCAGCGCGACUGCCACUUCCAGAUCGAGCGCGCGAGGGAGUCCACGGCCCGGGUCGCGGUGUGGAGGCAGUUCGAGAUACCCAUGUCCUAUACCAUGGAGGCGUCGACGUGUGGCUGCGACCAGGGGCCCUACAAGAACUAUCACCUUAGUCCAAAGCAGCUGCAGGAAUCGGGAGAGGGCUUCUGCGUUGCCUUGUCCUACCUGAUCUCCACGCCUGAAGUCCUGAAUUCACGACUGAGGCUCAAUUCAGACAGUGAUGAUGAUCAUGAUGAUGAUGAUGAUGAUCACGGUGGAGCUGGCAGUGAUAGUGAUAGUGGUGGUGAGUAGGUGUCAGGGCAAGCAUUGGUCUGAGUUCGCCAGGAGAAGUGGUCUCAUUCUCCGCUUUCUCCAGAUUGGAAUGUCACGUGAGAAUGGUUGCCGAGAGAAGCCUAGGGGACUUCACCCAAGAAGUGGCCUUUUGGAGCGGCGACCUCGACGAUGACCUUGAUACAGACGAUGACCUGGAUCUUGAUCUGUAUGGUCCUGUUUAACUAGAUGAUUUGUGUUCGUGGAGAUUUCUGUAUUACUUGAUAUAAAGCUGCAGUAAGUUUCA
RNAcentral lists this unclassified non-coding RNA (3356 nucleotides) under Penaeus chinensis. RNAcentral describes it as "cytosolic carboxypeptidase 1-like, transcript variant X1". The record is from RNAcentral. Lineage: Eukaryota; Metazoa; Arthropoda; Malacostraca; Decapoda; Penaeidae.